This is a non-coding RNA of Rattus norvegicus (Norway rat), 1059 nucleotides long. Lineage: Eukaryota; Metazoa; Chordata; Mammalia; Rodentia; Muridae. The record is from RefSeq and is a predicted model, not a curated record.
ACCAGUCCUCUCUCUGGGCACAAGCCUUCAGGCCCAGCUGUCCUGGCACUCCCCAGCUUGGCACUUGAAGGCCCUCUUUCUGCCCUGUGUCCUCUCCCUCUCCCCUUUGCUGCUUCAAACCAGAACAUUGGAAACAGCCCAUAAAAGUGAAACAAAACUGGAGGGAAAAAGAAACAGGGAAUUUGGCCUAUAAAAAAGGAGGUUUCAAAAUGCAAAUAUCUUUGAUGGAAAUUUUUCUUUCCUGGAGUCUAAUGGACAUGGCCCCCAAGCACCAGUCUUGGAGAAGCUUUGGGUUCUCUUUUAGUCUGGGACGUUCCACUCUUCUUCAGAGAAGUGCCUGAGGAUUCUGCAGAAGACUUCUUUGUUCACUCUGAAAUAUCCCUGAAACUGAGCUGUGGGUGUUGAGCUUUCCCCCUAUUCCUAAUUAAGCACUGCUGUCUGUGUUUCCACUUGAAUAUAGCUCUCCUUUAAAAUGUUCUGUCAUCCCAUGAAAGCCAAAGAAGUCACAAGAGGACAGGCGCCAUGCUUUACUUAAUGACAUCGAUGGAGAAAAACCUUCAUUUGUUUGUUGUAAUAUAGUUAUUCAGCUUCUGUAAACAGCAAAUGUUUUUCAUCUAAAUAAAAAUUGAAAAAAAAUGAAGAUAUUGUUUCUGUAGAAAGACUAUGCUAUUGCCCUAGUAAUGUCAACCAAGAUCUAAAUUGAUAGAAAAAGAGGUAUUUCAUACAUAUCAAUCAUGUUUUCAAAUCACCACAUAGAGGCAUAUUAAGCAGAAAAAGUUCCUGCUGGAAGUACAAGUUAGAGUUAUUUGUAAUGUGCUUCUGUGGGAACAGUUUGUUAUAAUGUCUUGGUUAGAUGAGGACGGAGAUGGAUAGUCACAGAGUAGACUAGAUGUACAAUGACUGAAAAGGGUGAGGUUAUGACGGGAGAGGAAGGACACAGAAGACAAGUGGGUGGGUAAAAGUACUUGCUGCAUAAACCUGACAAGGUGAGCUAGGAUCCCAGAAAACCCAUCAAAACAAACAAACAAACAAACAAACAAAUAAAUAAAUGAAACAAAA